GAUGAACGCUGGCGGCGUGCCUAAUACAUGCAAGUCGAGCGAACGGACGAGAAGCUUGCUUCUCUGAUGUUAGCGGCGGACGGGUGAGUAACACGUGGAUAACCUACCUAUAAGACUGGGAUAACUUAGGGAAACCGGAGCUAAUACCGGAUAAUAUUUUGAACCGCAUGGUUCAAAAGUGAAAGACGGUCUUGCUGUCCCUUAUAGAUGGAUCCGCGCUGCAUUAGCUAGUUGGUAAGGUAACGGCUUACCAAGGCAACGAUGCAUAGCCGACCGGAGAGGGUGAUCGGCCACACGGGAACUGAGACACGGACCAGACUCCUACGGGAGGCAGCAGUAGGGAAUCUUCCGCAAUGGGCGAAAGCCUGACGGAGCAACGCCGCGUGAGUGAUGAAGGUCUUCGGAUCGUAAAACUCUGUUAUUAGGGAAGAACAUAUGUGUAAGUAACUGUGCACAUCUUGACGGUACCUAAUCAGAAAGCCACGGCUAACUACGUG
RNAcentral lists this ribosomal RNA (497 nucleotides) under uncultured bacterium. RNAcentral describes it as "partial 16S ribosomal RNA". It matches the Rfam family "Bacterial small subunit ribosomal RNA", at positions 28 to 507 of the family's 1533-position model. The record is from RNAcentral.